UAGGGUAUAGUGUAAUUGGUUAACAUUUUUGCUUUGGGUGUGAAAAAUUAUAGGUUCAAAUCCUAUUACCCUAA
This 74-nucleotide transfer RNA is filed under the name Palisada intermedia. Its description in RNAcentral is "tRNA-Pro". It matches the Rfam family "tRNA". Rfam says of the family: Transfer RNA (tRNA) molecules are approximately 80 nucleotides in length. Their secondary structure includes four short double-helical elements and three loops (D, anti-codon, and T loops). Further hydrogen bonds mediate the characteristic L-shaped molecular structure. tRNAs have two regions of fundamental functional importance: the anti-codon, which is responsible for specific mRNA codon recognition, and the 3' end, to which the tRNAs corresponding amino acid is attached (by aminoacyl-tRNA synthetases). tRNAs cope with the degeneracy of the genetic code in two manners: having more than one tRNA (with a specific anti-codon) for a particular amino acid; and 'wobble' base-pairing, i.e. permitting non-standard base-pairing at the 3rd anti-codon position. Lineage: Eukaryota; Rhodophyta; Florideophyceae; Ceramiales; Rhodomelaceae. The record is from RNAcentral.